GGAUGGAUGGCUGAGUCUGGUCGAAGGCACCGGUUUUGAAAACCGGCGAUGGGGCAACCUAUCCGGGGGUUCGAAUCCCUCUCCAUCCG
Molecule: transfer RNA, 89 nt
Filed under: Mariniblastus sp.
Lineage: Bacteria; Pseudomonadati; Planctomycetota; Planctomycetia; Pirellulales; Pirellulaceae
Description: tRNA-Ser
Rfam family: tRNA
About the family: Transfer RNA (tRNA) molecules are approximately 80 nucleotides in length.
Source: RNAcentral